This 468-nucleotide ribosomal RNA is filed under the name uncultured bacterium. Its description in RNAcentral is "partial 16S ribosomal RNA". It matches the Rfam family "Bacterial small subunit ribosomal RNA", at positions 28 to 507 of the family's 1533-position model. The record is from RNAcentral.
GACGAACGCUGGCGGCGUGCUUAACACAUGCAAGUCGAACGGAAAGGCCCUGCUUUUGUGGGGUGCUCGAGUGGCGAACGGGUGAGUAACACGUGAGUAACCUGCCCUUGACUUUGGGAUAACUUCAGGAAACUGGGGCUAAUACCGGAUAGGAGCUUCUUCUGCAUGGUGGUGGUUGGAAAGUUUCGGCGGUUGGGGAUGGACUCGCGGCUUAUCAGCUUGUUGGUGGGGUAGUGGCUUACCAAGGCUUUGACGGGUAGCCGGCCUGAGAGGGUGACCGGCCACAUUGGGACUGAGAUACGGCCCAGACUCCUACGGGAGGCAGCAGUGGGGAAUAUUGCACAAUGGGCGGAAGCCUGAUGCAGCAACGCCGCGUGCGGGAUGACGGCCUUCGGGUUGUAAACCGCUUUCGCCUGUGACGAAGCGUGAGUGACGGUAAUGGGUAAAGAAGCACCGGCUAACUACGUG